GAUGAAGAACGUAGUAAAAUGCGAUACUUGGUGUGAAUUGCAGAAUCCCGUGAACCAUCGAGUUUUUGAACGCAAGUUGCGCCCAAAGCCUUUUGGCCGAGGGCACGUCUGCCUGGGCGUCACGCAUCGCGUCGCCCCCCACAAUUCUUCGUAAAGGGAACAUGUGUUUUGGGGGCGGAUAUUGGUCUCCCGUGCUCAUGGCGUGGUUGGCCGAAAUAGGAGUCCUUUCGAUGGACGCACGAACUAGUGGUGGUCGUAAAAACCCUCGUCUUUUGUUUCGUGCUGUUGCUCGCAAGGUAAACUCUUUAAAAACCCCAAUGUGUCGUCUCUUGACGACGCUUCGACCGCGACCCCAGGUCAGGCGGGACUACCCGCUGAGUUUAAGCAUAUCAAUAAGCGGAGGA
RNAcentral lists this unclassified non-coding RNA (404 nucleotides) under soil metagenome. Its description in RNAcentral is "partial contains 5.8S ribosomal RNA, internal transcribed spacer 2, and large subunit ribosomal RNA". The stretch from base 1 to 122 matches the Rfam family "5.8S ribosomal RNA", at positions 35 to 154 of the family's 154-position model. The record is from RNAcentral.